GCAGACGGAAGCUGGGCGGAUACAGCUGCGUGAAGAGAUCGCGUUCGCGGGUUCGAAUCCCGCCGUCUGCG
RNAcentral lists this transfer RNA (71 nucleotides) under Caudoviricetes sp. RNAcentral describes it as "tRNA-Leu". It matches the Rfam family "tRNA". Rfam says of the family: Transfer RNA (tRNA) molecules are approximately 80 nucleotides in length. Their secondary structure includes four short double-helical elements and three loops (D, anti-codon, and T loops). The record is from RNAcentral. Lineage: Duplodnaviria; Heunggongvirae; Uroviricota; Caudoviricetes.